AACAGGCUGAAUUAAAGCACUUAUCCAAACUUACAAACAAAAUUCAAGCUAACAACAUAAAUGAACAAACAAACACAUGAAGCAAAAUUAAACUUAUUACAGAAUUGAAUGGACUUAAAAACAUAGAGAUAGCAUUUGAUAAGCAACAUAUGUCAUGGAUUUCCAGCUUAAUCACAUAGCUGCAAAUUCUUUCAUUUUGCAUGUCAAUGAUGUCUAGGGAGUACCUGGUUACAGCAACAAAACAACAAGAAAAUAGGCCUGAGGUUAGGAAGAAAACAGCAAAAGUAUAUCAGCAACAACAGCACAACCAACACUCAACUUUUACGCCAUUUUGAACCCAGAUGAACACAGUUCUUUUGAGUUUUCAAAAACUCUGACUAACAAUGGAAAUCAAGGAGCAAAACCUAGCAAGUUUCAACCACAAAAUGCAAGCAAUUUUCAGUAUUUUCAGAGUCUAAAAGCUCAGCCGUUUCUAAGUUUUUUCUUAGUAUUCUAAUCUCUGCCUAACGAAUGCAGGAAAUUUCCCUUUUAUAGACAAAUUUUAGGGGAAAAAAACUUACAAACAAAAUUCAAGCUAACAACAGAAAUGAACAAACAAACACAUGAAGCAAAAUUAAACUUAUUACAGAAUUGAAUGGACUUAAAAACAUAGAGAUAGCAUUUGAUAAGCAACAUAUGUCAUGGAUUUCCAGCUUAAUCACAUAGCUGCAGGUUCUUUCAUUUUGCAUGUCAAUGAUGUCUAGGGAGUACCUGGUUACAGCAACAAAACAACAAGAAAAUAGGCCUAAGGUUAGGAAGAAAACAGCAAAAGUAUAUCAGCAACAACAGCACAACCAACACUCAGCUUUUACGCCAUUUUGAACCCAGAUGAACACAGUUCUUUUGAGUUUUCAAAAACUCUGACUAACAAUGGAAAUCAAGGAGCAAAACCUAGCAAGUUUCAACCACAAAAUGCAAGCAAUUUUCAGUAUUUUCAGAGUCUAAAAGCUCAGCCGUUUCUAAGUUUUUUCUUAGUAUUCUAAUCUCUGCCUAACGAAUGCAGGAAAUUUCCCUUUUAUAGACAAAUUUUAGGGGAAAAAAUUGAUUUUAAGCUUUACAAUUUACGCCUUCCCUGAUUUUUUAUUCUUUUAUUUCAAACCCCAAAUUUUAGCCUGCUUGUUAGACCAGCCCCUUUCCCCACUUUCCUGCAAGCUUCCUAAUCAGUUGUAAAAGAUUUCUCUGCCCAAUUUUCCUAAACUACCAUUUGAACUCUUGUUAUUUACCUUCAGGAAAUCAAACAUGGGUCAAGUUGACCCAAAAACCAUGGGCUUAUCCGGCUCAACAGGACCAAACUAGUCAAACCAAAAGAAAGACGAAGCAAUGGAAUUUUAGUGACAGCCUUGAAAUUUACCAAUUUCGAUUAACAAACAAGACUAAACAAAUUGUGACCCACUCUUGAACUAAAACAUGCUGAAAAUCAAUUAAUCAACAACAAUGAAAACAAGACUGCCUGAUUAUUUUCCCUAAACUUAACUUAACCUAAUCACAUGGAGCAACUAAUUAACCAGCAAUUUAGAUGAACAGAGGUUAAAGACUGAAAAGAGAAGUCGGAAAACAAACAAAGAAAAUAUAAAAAGACCCCGAGGAGCAGAGGAACAUGAAGAAAUGAUGAAAGAAAAGGAAGAAACAUAAAAGAACGAACCAUAGAAGUAGGCAGAGGGGGAAAAUAAGAGAAAAAAGUACCUAAUUAACUUGAAGAAACUCUGGCUGCUCCGAUUACCCAAAACUAAUGUUAAUCGCAUGUUCUUUGUCAAGAAAAAACGAACAACAUUAAUUUCAUGCUAAAUCGAGCCCUUGAAACUUGAAAACUUAGAGUUCUAAUCCUUACAUGCCAAAGAUCCGGGGUAAGGCGGAUUCGAGGUUUUAGGGCUUUGACAUGGGAUCUAAAAUUUGAGGCGAUGGAGAGGUAUUCGAGGGAAAUUGUUUUAGGGUUUAGGAAGAGGAGGGUCCGGGGAUUAUGGAGUAUAAUUUUGGAGGUGGUUUGGGGCCCGCCGCCGACGGAAUUGGCGGAGAGAGUUUGAGGGCGGCGCUAGGGUUUUGGCUUGAGAGAGAUAAAAGAGAAGCUGAAGAACAUAGUCCUAGGUUGUUCUGAUGGCUUUUGGACAGUUUUAAGUAAAAUGGGGAAGUAUUUAGGGUCGUUGGAUGAACUGAGAUGAAAGGCCAGGAUUCGUUUUAAACCUUCGAACUCAAAAUGACGUAGUUUUGGCUCUACACUACGUCGUUUGAAUUAUCUAGAUGACUGAAUGGUUUGGACCGGGUAUGGGGUGGAGUUUAGGCCCGGAUUGGGGAAUACUUUGGGCGGAUUUUCAAGUAAACUGGCCCAAUUUCACAAGACAAAUCUUUUUUCCAAUUCCUUCUUUUAUUUUCUAAUUUUUCCUUUUCUUUUAAUUAAAAUCCUACAAAUUAAAAAUCCUAAAUUAUCCAAAAGUAUGAAAUUAAACUAAUUAGGUAAUUAUAUAAAAAUUAUAAACAAUACUUAAUUCCAAUAUCAUUCUUGAGGAGAGUUUGGAUAGCAAUUUUUCGGCUAACUUUGUUCACUUUUUUGCAAGUAUUUCAUCGAAGCUAAAGCCUAAUCUUAUAGUAGAAUCUCAAGUGGUGGUAUUAAUGCACUACAUUCAAUCCACUGGGAGGACACUAAAGGUGGGCUUUGGC
Molecule: long non-coding RNA, 2691 nt
Filed under: Nicotiana tabacum (common tobacco)
Lineage: Eukaryota; Viridiplantae; Streptophyta; Magnoliopsida; Solanales; Solanaceae
Description: long non-coding RNA (NTAB_LNC003842)
Source: RNAcentral